This 561-nucleotide ribosomal RNA is filed under the name Hansenula anomala. RNAcentral describes it as "eukaryotic LSU rRNA". It matches the Rfam family "Eukaryotic large subunit ribosomal RNA", at positions 83 to 657 of the family's 3401-position model. The record is from RNAcentral. Lineage: Eukaryota; Fungi; Ascomycota; Saccharomycetes; Phaffomycetales; Wickerhamomycetaceae.
GUAACGGCGAGUGAAGCGGCAAAAGCUCAAAUUUGAAAUCUAGCACCUUCGGUGUUCGAGUUGUAAUUUGAAGAUGGUAACCUUGGGUUUGGCUCUUGUCUAUGUUCCUUGGAACAGGACGUCAUAGAGGGUGAGAAUCCCGUCUGAUGAGAUGCCCAUUCCUAUGUAAGGUGCUAUCGAAGAGUCGAGUUGUUUGGGAAUGCAGCUCUAAGUGGGUGGUAAAUUCCAUCUAAAGCUAAAUAUUGGCGAGAGACCGAUAGCGAACAAGUACAGUGAUGGAAAGAUGAAAAGAACUUUGAAAAGAGAGUGAAAAAGUACGUGAAAUUGUUGAAAGGGAAGGGCAUUAGAUCAGACUUGGUGUUUUACGAUUAUCUUCUCUUCUUGAGUUGUGCACUCGUAUUUCACUGGGCCAGCAUCGAUUCGGAUGGCAAGAUAAUGGCAGUUGAAUGUGGCUUCACUUCGGUGGAGUGUUAUAGCUUCUGCUGAUAUUGCCUGUCUGGAUCGAGGGCUGCGUCUUUUGACUAGGAUGCUGGCGUAAUGAUCUAAUGCCGCCCGUCUUGA